UGAAGGUUGGUACUUGUACCAACUGGAUGAGCAGCGAACGGGUGAGUAACGCGUGGGGGAAUCUGCCUUUGAGCGGGGACAACAUUUGGAAACGAAUGCUAAUACCGCAUAAAAACUUUAAACACAAGUUUUAAGUUUGAAAGAUGCAAUUGCAUCACUCAAAGAUGGUCCCGCGGUGCAUUAGCUAGUUGGUAAGGUAAUGGCUUACCAAGGCGAUGAUACAUAGCCGACCUGAGAGGGUGAUCGGCCACAUUGGGACUGAGACACGGCCCAAACUCC
RNAcentral lists this ribosomal RNA (279 nucleotides) under uncultured Lactococcus sp. Its description in RNAcentral is "partial 16S ribosomal RNA". It matches the Rfam family "Bacterial small subunit ribosomal RNA", at positions 67 to 339 of the family's 1533-position model. The record is from RNAcentral. Lineage: Bacteria; Bacillati; Bacillota; Bacilli; Lactobacillales; Streptococcaceae.